GUGCUCGCUUCGGCAGCACAUAUACUAAAAAAUUGGAACGAUACAGAGAAGAUUAGCAUGUCCCCUGCACAAGGAUGACACGCAAAUUUGUGAAGCGUUCCAAAAAAAA
This 109-nucleotide small nuclear RNA is filed under the name Castor canadensis (American beaver). Lineage: Eukaryota; Metazoa; Chordata; Mammalia; Rodentia; Castoridae. The record is from RNAcentral.